RNAcentral lists this unclassified non-coding RNA (594 nucleotides) under Drosophila pseudoobscura pseudoobscura. RNAcentral describes it as "GA11750". Lineage: Eukaryota; Metazoa; Arthropoda; Insecta; Diptera; Drosophilidae. The record is from RNAcentral.
AGCACUCAACCGUUGAAAGUGUUACCACACCUUAAAAAUUUCAGUGUUAGUCAGAGUCCGAAUCGGAAUCUGUUGAAUUUUUCGAAAUAAACAAAGCCAAACUACGAUUGACCAAAAACCCAAAGACUACUGGAUCCUCACCAAUAAAAUACCACAAAAAAUACGCAAAAUUAAAUGAAGUGAAUAUAAAACUAAAACCACCCUGGGCCCUACCAUUGCCCAGGGUAGAAAAUCCUAGAGAACUUUCAUUGUGUUUUGUGCCAGGGCCAGAGCCCUAAUGAAAUUAAAGAUCUUUCAAUAAUGGCACUGCAGGAACCUAUAUACCUUUUAUUAAGCAAUGGAUCCCUCUUUUUUUGAAGAAAAUUCAGAAAAAUCAAGUAAGCAAAUGAUUGCGUUUUAUGGGGCCUGCCAACUCGAUCCAAAACGAUGCUUUUGAGGUUAUGUAUGUGUGCCGCAGUAAGGCUUAGGCAAAAUCAAUUUUGCAAUAUAACUUUGAGUAAAACUUAAAUUGAAUCAACAAAGGAAACGCAAAGGAACGGAAAGGAAGAUGAUGCCUGGUCCUGGUCCUGGUCCCCGGUGUUCUCCUGGCAUUCU